Molecule: unclassified non-coding RNA, 376 nt
Filed under: uncultured Pseudobdellovibrionaceae bacterium
Lineage: Bacteria; Pseudomonadati; Bdellovibrionota; Bdellovibrionia; Bdellovibrionales; Pseudobdellovibrionaceae
Description: uncultured Bdellovibrionaceae bacterium contains 16S-23S intergenic spacer region
Source: RNAcentral
UCCGACUUAACGUCGGCAGUCCCUUUAGAGUGCCCAACUAAAUGCUGGCAACUAAAGGCAAGGGUUGCGCUCGUUGCGGGACUUAACCCAACAUCUCACGACACGAGCUGACGACAGCCAUGCAGCACCUAUAUACAGACCCUUACGGGCGACGGCAUCUCUGCCGUCUUCCUGUACAUUUCGAGCCCAGGUAAGGUUUUUCGCGUUGCAUCGAAUUAAACCACAUGCUCCACCGCUUGUGCGGGCCCCCGUCAAUUUCUUUGAGUUUUAACCUUGCGGCCGUACUCCCCAGGCGGGACACUUAACGCGUUAGCUUCGGCACUGAAGGGGUCAAUACCUCCAACACCAAGUAUCCAUCGUUUACGGCGUGGACUAC